UUAAUACUUCCUCCGUCCGGAAAUACUUGUCAUCAAAAUGGAUAGAAAGAUUUCUAUCCAUUUUGAUGACAAGUAUUUCCGGACGGAGGGAGUACAUA
Non-coding RNA from Triticum aestivum (bread wheat), 98 nucleotides. Lineage: Eukaryota; Viridiplantae; Streptophyta; Magnoliopsida; Poales; Poaceae. The record is from Rfam.